This 294-nucleotide long non-coding RNA is filed under the name Pan troglodytes (chimpanzee). Its description in RNAcentral is "long non-coding RNA NONPTRT002760". Lineage: Eukaryota; Metazoa; Chordata; Mammalia; Primates; Hominidae. The record is from RNAcentral.
GUCAAUUAUGCGUAUGUGAAUAGGUGCGCAGGCAAAGAGCGGCAAGAGGACAGCUGGGAGGAAAACCCUCACAGAGAGCGUGACAUCUGAGCCAUCUGAAGGAUAAGUAGGACUGUGUCAGGAUUAUCAUGCUGGCUUCAGCAGGUAGAGCUGAUGGGAGGAGGCAAGACAGGAAGGAACUGCAUAGUCCAGUAAAUUGCAACAGAAGGAACAGUGCAUCAGUUCUGAGCCUAGGUGUCCAGAGGCCUUGCAUGCUUUGGCUCUCUCUUUUGGGGCUCUGCCCAGGCACCCAGG